This 215-nucleotide long non-coding RNA is filed under the name Bos mutus (wild yak). RNAcentral's name for it is "lncRNA (ENSBMUG00000025154.1)". The record is from RNAcentral. Lineage: Eukaryota; Metazoa; Chordata; Mammalia; Artiodactyla; Bovidae.
CUUUGCCAGGAGAAAAUUGACUGCUGAGCAGUGUACAUCUGAAGAAGGAUGCUUUGUCAGAUGAGAUUGGAAGAUUUAGAAGAAACCAUAAUUCCAAGGUUAAAAGAUUAAUUUACAGGAACCUAGGAGCAACCUCUGAAUCAUCCUAGAGAGUGCCUUCCAUGUUUCAGGGAAUUGCUAAAAGGUGAGUCACUGUUGGUUCCGGGAAAGUCUUU